UAGGGAAUCUUCCACAAAUGGACGCAAGUCUGAUGGAGCAACGCCGCGUGAGUGAAGAAGGGUUUCGGCUCGUAAAGCUCUGUUGUUAAAGAAGAACGUGGGUAAGAGUAACUGUUUACCCAGUGACGGUAUUUAACCAGAAAGCCACGGCUAACUACGUGCCAC
This 165-nucleotide ribosomal RNA is filed under the name uncultured bacterium. RNAcentral's name for it is "partial 16S rRNA". It matches the Rfam family "Bacterial small subunit ribosomal RNA", at positions 355 to 511 of the family's 1533-position model. The record is from RNAcentral.